RNAcentral lists this ribosomal RNA (262 nucleotides) under uncultured bacterium. RNAcentral's name for it is "partial 16S ribosomal RNA". It matches the Rfam family "Bacterial small subunit ribosomal RNA", at positions 795 to 1052 of the family's 1533-position model. The record is from RNAcentral.
CCACGCCCUAAACGAUGUAUACUAGUUGUUGCUUUGCUAGUCAAGGCAGUAAUGCACCUAACGGAUUAAGUAUACCGCCUGGGGAGUACGGUCGCAAGAUUAAAACUCAAAGGAAUAGACGGGGACCCGCACAAGCGGUGGAGCAUGUGGUUUAAUUCGAAGAUACGCGAAGAACCUUACCCGGACUUGAUAUCUAACAAAUCUUUUAGAGAUAAGAGAGUGUCUGCUUGCAGAAAUGUUAAGACAGGUGCUGCACGGCUGU